Long non-coding RNA from Ictalurus punctatus (channel catfish), 424 nucleotides. The record is from Ensembl. Lineage: Eukaryota; Metazoa; Chordata; Actinopteri; Siluriformes; Ictaluridae.
CACCCAUUUGGCCAGUAGCGGACCUGAUUCUGCCUUAACAUUACACUUGUCACAAACGGAUGGAAAAAUUCUGGAAACAGACGUCUCAAACAGGUUUGAUGAAGUUUGACAUCCUGUAUCAGGACACAAUAUCUGUUCACGGGUUACUCAUGCUUGAGGCCUGUAACAGAAAUUUGGAGGCACCGCUGGGAUCGGCAUCUGACGAGAGUUGGUGCUGAUCUUUUAACCAACAAACCAGGCAGACGUCGCAGGACCAGUACAGUGGAGUGGCAGGCGUGCAACUGGGGCGGCCACGAGGCGAAGAGGAGGAUUGAGCCAUUGACAUGCAGUUACUGUGUGUGUAUGGGUAGCAAAAUGCCUCCAGCACCAGAAGAUUUGCCAUUACAUUCAAGAAACCACCUUCCUCCUACAAUUUCAUCUGGAA